UGAGUAACGCGUAUGGACCGACCUCGACCGUUGCAGGGGGAUAAUCGGGAGAAAUCCCGUCUAAUACCGCGUAACGCCGCGGGGCUGCAUGGCCCUGCGGCCAAAGGGAGCGAUUCCGGCAACGGAUGGGCAUGCGUGACAUUAGCUAGUUGGCGGGGCAACGGCCCAUCAAGGCGACGAUGUCUAGGGGUUCUGAGAGGAAGGUCCCCCACACUGGUACUGAGACACGGACCAGACUCCUACGGGAGGCAGCAG
Molecule: ribosomal RNA, 255 nt
Filed under: uncultured bacterium
Lineage: Bacteria
Description: partial 16S ribosomal RNA
Rfam family: Bacterial small subunit ribosomal RNA
Source: RNAcentral